GUCGAGGAUCAUUCGCAAUGGGCGAAAGCCUGACGAUGCGACGCUGCGUGGAGGAUGAAGGCCCUCGGGUCGUAAACUCCUGUCAUGGGGGGCGAGGCGGAGGCGGUUAACGGCCGCCCGAGUUGACGGUACCCCAAGAGGAAGCCACGGCUAACUCUGUGCCAGCAGCCGCGGUAAUACAGAGGUGGCGAGCGUUGUUCGGAUUUACUGGGCGUAAAGGGCGCGUAGGCGGCCGCGUGUGUGGGGUGUGAAAUCUCCGGGCUCAACCCGGAAAGUGCGCUCCAAACUGCGCGGCUCGAGUGCGGGAGGGGAGAUCGGAAUGCAGGGUGUAGCGGUGAAAUGCGUUGAUAUCCUGCAGAACACCGGUGGCGAAGGCGGAUCUCUGGAACGCAACUGACGCUGAGGCGCGAAAGCAGGGGGAGCAAACAGGAUUAGAAACCCUUGUAGUCC
Molecule: ribosomal RNA, 450 nt
Filed under: uncultured bacterium
Lineage: Bacteria
Description: partial 16S ribosomal RNA
Rfam family: Bacterial small subunit ribosomal RNA
Source: RNAcentral